RNAcentral lists this unclassified non-coding RNA (520 nucleotides) under uncultured Glomus. RNAcentral's name for it is "SSU rRNA". It matches the Rfam family "Eukaryotic small subunit ribosomal RNA", at positions 569 to 1089 of the family's 1831-position model. Lineage: Eukaryota; Fungi; Glomeromycota; Glomeromycetes; Glomerales; Glomeraceae. The record is from RNAcentral.
AGCAGCCGCGGUAAUUCCAGCUCCAAUAGCGUAUAUUAAAGUUGUUGCAGUUAAAAAGCUCGUAGUUGAAUUUCGGGGUUAGUAGGUUGGUCAUGCCUCUGGUAUGUACUGGUCUCACUGAUUCCUCCUUCCUGAUGAGCCGUAAUGCCAUUAAUUUGGUGUUGCGGGGAAUUUGGACUGUUACUUUGAAAAAAUUAGAGUGUUUAAAGCAAGCUAACGCUUGAAUACAUUAGCAUGGAAUAAUGAAAUAGGACGUUCGAUCCUAUUUUGUUGGUUUCUAGGAUUGACGUAAUGAUUAAUAGGGAUAGUUGGGGGCAUUAGUAUUCAAUUGUCAGAGGUGAAAUUCUUGGAUUUAUUGAAGACUAACUACUGCGAAAGCAUUUGCCAAGGAUGUUUUCAUUAAUCAAAGAACGAAAGUUAGGGGAUCGAAGACGAUCAGAUACCGUCGUAGUCUUAACCAUAAACUAUGCCGACUAGGGAUCGGAUGAUGUUAAUUUUUUAAUGACUCAUUCGGCGCCUU